This 384-nucleotide ribosomal RNA is filed under the name uncultured bacterium. RNAcentral's name for it is "bacterial SSU rRNA". It matches the Rfam family "Bacterial small subunit ribosomal RNA", at positions 90 to 509 of the family's 1533-position model. The record is from RNAcentral.
GGUCAGUGGCAGACGGGUGAGUAACACGUGGGAACGUCCCCCUCGGUUCGGAAUAACUCAGGGAAACUUGAGCUAAUACCGGAUACGUCCGAGAGGAGAAAGAUUUAUCGCCGAGGGAUCGGCCCGCGUCUGAUUAGCUAGUUGGUGAGGUAAUGGCUCACCAAGGCGACGAUCAGUAGCUGGUCUGAGAGGAUGAUCAGCCACACUGGGACUGAGACACGGCCCAGACUCCUACGGGAGGCAGCAGUGGGGAAUAUUGGACAAUGGGCGCAAGCCUGAUCCAGCCAUGCCGCGUGAGUGAUGAAGGCCUUAGGGUUGUAAAGCUCUUUUGCCAGGGAAGAUAAUGACUGUACCUGGAGAAUAAGCCCCGGCUAACUUCGUGCC